UACAGAGGUGGCAAGCGUUGUUCGGAAUUACUGGGCGUAAAGAGCGCGCAGGCGGCUGGUCAAGUCCGAUGUGAAAUCUCCCGGCUUAACUGGGAAACUGCAUCGGAAACUGAUCGGCUUGAAGGUGGGAGAGGGUAGUGGAAUUCCCGGUGUAGUGGUGAAAUGCGUAGAUAUCGGGAGGAACACCAGUGGCGAAGGCGACUACCUGGCCCAUUCUUGACGCUGAGGCGCGAAAGCUAGGGGAGCGAACGGG
RNAcentral lists this ribosomal RNA (253 nucleotides) under uncultured bacterium. RNAcentral describes it as "partial 16S ribosomal RNA". It matches the Rfam family "Bacterial small subunit ribosomal RNA", at positions 524 to 776 of the family's 1533-position model. The record is from RNAcentral.